RNAcentral lists this microRNA precursor (256 nucleotides) under Aegilops tauschii. Its description in RNAcentral is "miR2275c stem-loop (ata-MIR2275c)". The stretch from base 171 to 256 matches the Rfam family "MIR2275 microRNA precursor family". The record is from miRBase by way of RNAcentral. Lineage: Eukaryota; Viridiplantae; Streptophyta; Magnoliopsida; Poales; Poaceae.
GCAGAUGAAUUUGAGUGUUGGAUGGGACCAAAUCUUACUGCCGGGUGUGGCAAGAUUUGGUUUCCUCCAAUAUCUUAUGUUCAUAUGUCAGACGCUGGGUGUUAGCUACAAGCCUACAACAAGUGAUAGUUGGAUGGACACCUGGGCCUGUCUCAAGAACCUAACCUCGCAAGCUGAAUGUGAGAUUUGGAUGGAACCAAAUCUUCAGCUAUAGUGGCACAAGAUUUGGUUUCCUCCAAUAUCUCAUCUUCAACUG